Molecule: long non-coding RNA, 638 nt
Organism: Herpailurus yagouaroundi (jaguarundi)
Lineage: Eukaryota; Metazoa; Chordata; Mammalia; Carnivora; Felidae
Exons: 2
Source: RefSeq, a predicted model, not a curated record
CGCAGGCGCAGAGACCGGUCACUAACUGGAGUUGCUCAUUUCCAGGAAGGACGGAGAUGCUCCAGGUAGGAACAGCUAUGUCAGGAUUUCAGUGAGUCCCCGCAGUCCAUCCAGAUCUGCGGGCAGAGGCGUCUCCUCAUUCCUGGAUGUGCAAAGCCCAGCGCUCACGUUGGAUCAGGGCGGAAGGCACCACGGCGCUGUUGGGGCAUCUCGAGGGGUGACGAUUUGGGGAGCAGGACUAGAAAAGCUAAAGGAGGCGCCCCGUUGAAGGCGCGAACAUUGGUGCGGCAUCUCCCGAUGUGGCUGCUUGGCGACGGAAGUUAAUAAAGGGGUGGCACAAACAAAUCCAGCCUGGUUACCGAGCAAGCGGAAAGGGCCUCCCGAAAUAGCUGGGGAAACUUCCAGAUGUGUGUGCUGCAAUCCCGCCGCUCGGCGGAUGGGGCCCGCCCGGCCAGCGAAAUCGUUUCUGUCUUCUUCCCUCACUCCUGGCCCCUCCUGACCACUUCAAUGGUUUCUAUCCAAAUCGGCCUUUUCGCUAAGUCUGGAACCUUGCCUGUAAGGUGAAACUACGUUUCAUCACUUGGCGGAGAGUUCAAUUAAAAAAAAAAAAAAGGAUCAAUAAAUUGUCACAUUGUUUU